GGAUGCAUAACUCAGUCGGUAGAGUACCUGGCUCUUAACCAGGGAGUCGGGAGUUCGAGCCUCCCUGCAUCCACCA
This 76-nucleotide transfer RNA is filed under the name Rhizobium laguerreae. RNAcentral's name for it is "tRNA-Lys". It matches the Rfam family "tRNA". Rfam says of the family: Transfer RNA (tRNA) molecules are approximately 80 nucleotides in length. Their secondary structure includes four short double-helical elements and three loops (D, anti-codon, and T loops). Further hydrogen bonds mediate the characteristic L-shaped molecular structure. tRNAs have two regions of fundamental functional importance: the anti-codon, which is responsible for specific mRNA codon recognition, and the 3' end, to which the tRNAs corresponding amino acid is attached (by aminoacyl-tRNA synthetases). tRNAs cope with the degeneracy of the genetic code in two manners: having more than one tRNA (with a specific anti-codon) for a particular amino acid; and 'wobble' base-pairing, i.e. permitting non-standard base-pairing at the 3rd anti-codon position. The record is from RNAcentral. Lineage: Bacteria; Pseudomonadati; Pseudomonadota; Alphaproteobacteria; Hyphomicrobiales; Rhizobiaceae.